CUGCGUCAUUAGGCACCAGCGUUAUAUUAGAGCAAAAAAAAAAGGAUGUUUUACUUUUAUUCUUACUUUUAGUAUUAGUCUUAAUCUUAGUUUUGGUAUUAAUCUUAGUCACGCAAAUACCUAACUUUGCGUCUAAAUAAUUUGGAAGAAAGAGCGCUUUGAUUCUAAAAAAAGAUAAGUUUUUUAUAAUUUACAUUAGUAAUGUAUUAGAUAUGUAAUGUAUUAUUUCAUCAUUAUAAUGAUGGUAAGUAUAUAAAGAAACUAUUACGGAUAAAUAAGCUAUAUAUUAAAGACGUAUAAAAUAAAGUGUUCUUGGAAAAAUCCAUUUUUUAAACGAAGCGAAUUGAAAUAUCUUAGUAGCUUCAGGAAUAAAAAUCAAAUGAGAUUCCAUAAUUAGCUAUAACUGUUAUGGAAAAGCCUUUAAAGUAAAACGGAAAUAAUCUGUUUGAAUCUAGGGAAACCUUUCUCUAAGGCUAAAUAUGAUAUAUAAGCGAUAGCGAAGCAGUACCGUGAGGGAAAUUUUAGAAAUAGUAGUUUUAUAAGCAGCUCAAGUUUAAUUUAAAAGUAUAAUGAGAGCGUACCUUUUGCAUAAUGGGUCAGCAAGUUAAUGUUAGAUGCGAGAGUAUACUCCUAGAUAAACCAAUUAUUAAUUAAUGAUUAAGUAUCUAAUGUUAGACCCGAAGCCUAGUGAUCUUACCAUGAUCAGGGUUAUAAAGGCCCGAACGGGUUAUCGUUGUAAAGAUAUCCGAUGAAUUGUGGUAAGUUAGUGAAAGACAAAACUGACUAGGAUAGCUGGUUUUCUGCGAAACCUAUAUAAGUAGGUAAUGUAAAUAACAUCAUAGCAGGUACAGAACUGUGAUCUCGGACAAGUUAUGUUGUUUUCUUUUAAGGAUAACAACAUGAUUUUGUAUACAUCGGGGAAUCGUGAAGAUUUUAUCGGCGAGAAUUUGCUCUCGGAAGGGCAAUGAUGGAUUUUGCAUAAUCAGACAUAGUACGAUAAGGUUGUAUGUCUAAAGGGAAACAGCCCAGAACAAGAGUUAAAGGUUCCAAAAUUAUUGUUAAGUGAAAAUAAGGAAGUUUUCUUCAAAUACAACCAGGAAAUAGGCUUAGAAGCGGCCAUUUUUUGAAGACCUCGUAACAGAGCACUGGUUUAACAUUAAAAGUUGAAAGCACCGAAAAUUUAACGGAUCUAAAACAAUAUACCGAAACCUUGUCUAUAAAUAAAUAUACUUUUAAGAUUUAUAAAAAAUUAAUUCUUAAGUAUUUUUAUUUAUGGGGUAGCAGAACGUUGGGCAUGUCUUAGACUUAGUAUUUUUAAUAUUAAGUAAGUUCAGCAGUGUAUUAUUAUUCAAACCAAGUAGGUUCUACGCUUAUUUGUUAGGAGUAACUAAUAACUGUUGAAUAAGAUCACCCCAAGUGAGAAUGCUGGCAUGAGUAACGAAAAAGGGAUAACCCCUCGCCUUAAGCUUAUGGUAUUUAAAUAAAGUAACGGCCUCUAAGUUUAUAAUUGUCCUAAAGGAUUAAACGAUGAGAAAAUCUUUAGAUAUGUCUAACAACAUUGUGGUAUUUUGAGUACAUAAUGUUCUGGAAAAAGACAUAUUAAUAUUUAUAACCGUACGUAAUGUUCUGGUAAAAAACAUAUAAAUAUUUACAACCGUACCUAGAUACUACCACCAGUAAGCAAGUAGAGUAUACAAAGGCGUUUGAGUUAACAAUCAUUAAGGAACUCGGCAAAAUGACACCGUAACUUAGGGAUAAGGUGUGCCAUCCUUCUUAAGUAAUAUUAAGUUAAGGAUAGGAGGCAUAGAGUGGUGUUGUACGACUGUUUAAUUAAAACAAAGCACUUUGCAUAAGAUGACAAAUCAAAGUAUUGAGUGUGAAUUCUGCCCGAUGUUGGCUGGUUAACGGAUUUUCUUAGCCGACUAAAAUAAGCUAGGUUUUGAAGGAAACCCCAAUCAAUGGCGGCCUUACCGAUGAGGGUCCUAAGGUAGCGGAAUACCUUGGCCGUUAAAUGCGGUCUUGCAUGAAUGAUUUAACGAUACAACAGCUGUCUCAAUGAUUGGCUCAGUGAAAUUGGAAUAACUGUGCAGAUACAGUUUACCUCUAGUUAGACGAGAAGACCCUAUGCAGCUUUACUGUUUGUAGUUAUUGGAUACAAUGGAACAAGUUGUAGCGUAUAAGGUAGUUGAUAAGAUACAAUUGAAACACCUUUACUUAGUUUAUUGUAUAAGUAGUAAACUUGACGAAAUAAAGUAGUCAGAAAAACUACAAAGCUUAUCCUAUAAAGGAUAUAUUUAGCACACACUCCGUGAUGCGAUAUAUUUGGAAACAUUUGCUAUUAGACAGUUUAUGCGGGGCACAGAUCCCACAAAAAGUACCUGGGUGUAUCCAAAGUUAAUUUUGUAAAUUUAUUGGCAAUAAUAAUUUGCCAAUAAAUAAAUAUAUUAUAUAGCAAAAGUUUUUGCUUUGACCUGUAUAAUGUAUUUUUAUUUUAAUCUGUAAUGUAUUGCUUUCAAUAUAUUCAGUUAUUUAUCUAUUAAGUUAGAUUUAUUUAUUUUUUUUAAGUAAGAUUUUAACUAUAUGGAAAAUAGAUGUAAAUAAAACACUAACGAUCUUUGCGAUAUAAAGAACAAAGAAAUAGUAGUGUUUUAGUUUAUUUUCUUAAUAUGCUUUUGAUAUUAAGAAAAUGAUUAUUAUUUUACUUUAAAAGUUUAAUGGCUUAAUCUUGCUUUACUGUUUGACUUACACGUCUAUCAGUUGCGUAAGCAGGGCAUAUGAUCACAAGAUGCAUAAAGGAAAGGUCUUGGAUUUUUGAAAAAGCUACGCUAGGGAUAACAGGCUAAUUGCGCCAGAGAGUACAAAUUGAGUGCGCAGUUUGGCACCUCGAUGUCGGCUUAGCUCAUCCACAUGAAUGCAGGAAUCAUGAAGGGUACGACUGUUCGUCGAUUAAAGAGCUACACGA
This 2962-nucleotide ribosomal RNA is filed under the name Venturia inaequalis. Its description in RNAcentral is "bacterial LSU rRNA". It matches the Rfam family "Bacterial large subunit ribosomal RNA", at positions 1 to 2603 of the family's 2925-position model. Lineage: Eukaryota; Fungi; Ascomycota; Dothideomycetes; Venturiales; Venturiaceae. The record is from RNAcentral.